UCCGGGCGGAGCUGUUCUGAUGUUACGGCGGAGCUCGGCUCCCGUAGGAGUCCGGGCGGAGCUGUUUCGAUGUCGGCGGUGGAGCCCGGCUCCCGUAGGAGUCCGGGCGGAGCUGUUCUGAUGUUGCGACGGAGCUCGGCUCCCGUAAAAGUCCAGGCGGAGCUGUUCCGAUGUUGCGACGGAGCCCGGCUCCCGUAGGAGUCCGAGCGGAGCUGUGUUGUUGCCGAUUCCGCCAAGGGUUUCGGCUGUGGGUAUUUUAUACCCAACAAGGUAUAAGUGUCCUUUAGACCUGAGAUCGCCUCA
RNAcentral lists this long non-coding RNA (303 nucleotides) under Elaeis guineensis (African oil palm). RNAcentral's name for it is "long non-coding RNA (EGUI_LNC073608)". Lineage: Eukaryota; Viridiplantae; Streptophyta; Magnoliopsida; Arecales; Arecaceae. The record is from RNAcentral.